Pimephales promelas (fathead minnow) is the source of this 262-nucleotide non-coding RNA. The record is from RefSeq and is a predicted model, not a curated record. Lineage: Eukaryota; Metazoa; Chordata; Actinopteri; Cypriniformes; Leuciscidae.
AGAAGUCGCGCCCACUUUUGACGCAAGGCCUCAUGGGGCGUAGGAAACUUGUGGAUACAACUAGACUGUCAACAUACUCUACUGAGUUUAACUGAGUAUAAGUGUGAGCUGCUCUGUUCAGUUAAGCAUACUCAUCUUCUCCACUAACUCAAGGAAAAGGCAUAAGAAGGAAAAGAAGACGAUCAGGAUGACGAAGAGGACCGAAGAAGUGAGACAGAUUAGACAGGAAGAAAAAACAGCGCAGUCUCAUCCCAAGACGUCA